UGGCGUAUAGCUCAAACGGUUAGAGCGGUGGCCUUAUAAGCCAUGUGUUACCGGUUCGAUUCCGGUUACGCCAA
RNAcentral lists this transfer RNA (74 nucleotides) under Blautia celeris. RNAcentral's name for it is "tRNA-Ile". It matches the Rfam family "tRNA". Rfam says of the family: Transfer RNA (tRNA) molecules are approximately 80 nucleotides in length. Their secondary structure includes four short double-helical elements and three loops (D, anti-codon, and T loops). Lineage: Bacteria; Bacillati; Bacillota; Clostridia; Lachnospirales; Lachnospiraceae. The record is from RNAcentral.